This 490-nucleotide ribosomal RNA is filed under the name uncultured bacterium. Its description in RNAcentral is "partial 16S ribosomal RNA". It matches the Rfam family "Bacterial small subunit ribosomal RNA", at positions 30 to 507 of the family's 1533-position model. The record is from RNAcentral.
AUUGAACGCUGGCGGCAGGCCUAACACAUGCAAGUCGAGCGGUAACAGGAAGGAGCUUGCUUCUUUGCUGACGAGUGGCGGACGGGUGAGUAAUGUCUGGGAAACUGCCUGAUGGAGGGGGAUAACUACUGGAAACGGUAGCUAAUACCGCAUAACGUCGCAAGACCAAAGAGGGGGACCUUCGGGCCUCUUGCCAUCGGAUGUGCCCAGAUGGGAUUAGCUAGUAGGUGGGGUAACGGCUCACCUAGGCGACGAUCCCUAGCUGGUCUGAGAGGAUGACCAGCCACACUGGAACUGAGACACGGUCCAGACUCCUACGGGAGGCAGCAGUGGGGAAUAUUGCACAAUGGGCGCAAGCCUGAUGCAGCCAUGCCGCGUGUAUGAAGAAGGCCUUCGGGUUGUAAAGUACUUUCAGCGGGGAGGAAGGGAGUAAAGUUAAUACCUUUGCUCAUUGACGUUACCCGCAGAAGAAGCACCGGCUAACUCCGUG